Molecule: long non-coding RNA, 681 nt
Organism: Pelobates fuscus (common spadefoot toad)
Lineage: Eukaryota; Metazoa; Chordata; Amphibia; Anura; Pelobatidae
Exons: 2
Source: RefSeq, a predicted model, not a curated record
AAUGGUAGGGUCACAUAGCCUUAUAAAAGGCUGGUCUUCAAGAUUUUAAUGGGUUCCUACAGCAAUGCUCACAACCCCCUCACUAUGCUUCACCACCACCUCACUAUGAGCCAUUCUGAAAGAAAGAGAUCUCCACAUCCACCACCCCACUCCUGCACCUAGAGAAUGCCACUUUAGGAAGUCCUUCUGCCCUAUUCUCCACAUGUAGGUUGGGGGCAGGGUUAACAAAGUCAAGUCACUACAAUUUAGACUUAUCACAGGCUAGUUUCCAUGAAAUAAAUAUAGUAUGGGAUGUAGUAGAUUACUUCUUGGUUCAAUAAGGUCGCUUAGUAAAGGUAAAUAUAAAGUAUCACUGGCUUCUACAUUUCUCUUGGAUCCAAUGUUAUAUGAAGGUAACUCUUUAUUUUUUAACUAUACUCAAUUUUCCUCACUGAAUACAUAAAUGGAGUCUGACUUCAAAUUGUGAUGUUAUAGUUAAUUCAUUGGCCAAGAGGUUGCUUGGCCCUCAGUCCAUUAAACAUACUUUGUACUACUUAUAGUGUCAUGCAGAUGCUCGCCCUCCCUGUAAAAAAGUGUAAUACCAUCAGUGCAUGCCUUUACUCUUUGUACUAAUAAUUUCAAUAUCCCCAUGCAGUUACGUCAAGUGGUAGAGAUAUGUCCAUUAUCUAUGCCAUAAGUGUU